GUAGGUGGUAAUUUAAGUGAAUAGUGAAAUCUUGUGGCUCAACCAUAAGGCUAUUAUUCAAACUGAAAUACUUGAGAAUGAGAGAGGUCACUGGAAUUCCCUGUGUAGGAGUGAAAUCCGUAGAUAUAGGGAGGAACACCAAUGGCGUAGGCAGGUGACUGGCUCAUUUCUGACACUGAGGCACGAAAGCGUGGGGAGCGAACGGGAUUAGAUACCCCGGUAGUCCACGCCGUAAACGAUGGAUGCUAGCUGUUAGGAGUAUCGACCCUUCUAGUAGCGAAGCUAACGCGUUAAGCAUCCCGCCUGGGGAGUACGGUCGCAAGAUUAAAACUCAAAGGAAUUGACGGGGACCCGCACAAGUGGUGGAGCGUGUUCUUUAAUUCGAAGUUAAGCGAAGAACCUUACCAGGGCUUGACAUCCCGAGAAUUUCUGCGAAAGCAGAGAGUGCCUUUAUUGGAAUUCGGUGACAGGUGUUGCAUGGCCGUCGUCAGCUCGUGUCGUGAGAUGUUUGGUUAAGUCCAUCAACGAGCGCAACCCCUAUGAUUAGUUGAAUUUCUCUAAUCAGACUGCCCCGGUGACGGGGAGGAAGGAGGGGAUGAGGUCAGGUCAUUAUUGCCCUUACGCCCUGGGCUAGAAACGCGCUACAAUGGCUGGUACAAAGGGCUGCCAACCCGCGAGGGGGAGCAAAUCCCAUUAAAACCAGUCCCAGUUCGGAUUGCAGGCUGAAACUCGCCUGCAUGAAGCCGGAAUCACUAGUAAUCGUAGGUCAGCACACUACGGUGAAUACGUUCCCGGGUCUUGUACACACCGCCCGUCAAACCAUGGAAGUCACCAACACCCGAAGUCCUAACUUGUUUAGGCCUAAGGUGGGGGGGAUAACUGGGGUU
This 887-nucleotide ribosomal RNA is filed under the name uncultured Candidatus Saccharibacteria bacterium. Its description in RNAcentral is "bacterial SSU rRNA". It matches the Rfam family "Bacterial small subunit ribosomal RNA", at positions 571 to 1482 of the family's 1533-position model. The record is from RNAcentral. Lineage: Bacteria; Candidatus Saccharimonadota.